RNAcentral lists this transfer RNA (76 nucleotides) under Phaeobacter italicus. Its description in RNAcentral is "tRNA-Met". It matches the Rfam family "tRNA". From Rfam's summary of the family: Transfer RNA (tRNA) molecules are approximately 80 nucleotides in length. Their secondary structure includes four short double-helical elements and three loops (D, anti-codon, and T loops). Lineage: Bacteria; Pseudomonadati; Pseudomonadota; Alphaproteobacteria; Rhodobacterales; Roseobacteraceae. The record is from RNAcentral.
GCGUGUGUAGCUCAACGGUUAGAGCAGAGCGCUCAUAACGCUUUGGUUGGGGGUUCAAAUCCCUCCACACGCACCA